RNAcentral lists this long non-coding RNA (691 nucleotides) under Hordeum vulgare. RNAcentral's name for it is "long non-coding RNA (HVUL_LNC001570)". Lineage: Eukaryota; Viridiplantae; Streptophyta; Magnoliopsida; Poales; Poaceae. The record is from RNAcentral.
ACAAACACACUGCAAAAGAAGAUUACAUCGGAUAGAUCUCCAUGAAGAUCAUGGAGAACUUUGUAUUGAAGAUCCAAGAGAGAGAAGAAGCCAUCUAACUACUAGCUAUGGACCCGUAGGUCUAUGGUGAACUACUCACGCAUCAUCGGAGAGGUCAUGGUGUUGAUGAAGAAGCCCUCCGUAUCCAAAUCCCCCUCCAGCAGGGCACCAGAACGUGCCCCAGAUGGGAUCUUGCGGAGACAGAAGCUUGCGGCGGCGGAAAAGUACUUUCGAUGAUCUCCUGAUUUUUUCUGGGAGUUUAGGGAAUAUAUCGGCGCAAAACCUAGGGCAGAGGUGGCCCAAGGAUCCCACAAGCCAGGGAGGCGCGGGCCCCCCUGGCCGCGGAUAAGGGGCUUGUGGGGUCCUUGCAGGCCCCCUGCCCUGAUUCUCCGGCUUCCCGAUCUUUUUCUGUUUCAGAAAAAAAUCUUUUUGGCAGUUUCAUUCCGUUUGGGCUCCGUUCAAAAUCCUCCUCUGAAAGGGGUCAAAAACAUGGAAAAAACAGGAACUGACACUUGCCACUGAGUUAAUAAGUUAGUACCAAAAAAUAUAUAAAGGCAUGCAAAACAUCCAAAGUUUGACAAGAUAAUAGCAUGAAACCAUCAAAAAUUAUAGAUACGUUGGAGACGUAUCACUUGCUACGAAUCAUCUCACC